AUGUGCUGCACUUGGCUGCAUUUUGAAAGCAUGUUUAGAAGCAUCUUUUGGCCUUUACUCCUCUUCUUUGCUAUCUGCCGCUUGCUUGCUGGAGUGGAGAGGAUGAACUAUGCUGAGGGCUAUGAAGCUGAAGUACCAUGGAAAGCAGAAGGUGCUAUAAGCCCUUUCCCUGGAGAGUGUAACAACACAAUUCUUGCAUAUUCAGGUGGGUCUGAGAUCAGCAGGCUUCGCCAUUAUGAUAGCUCAAUACAUUCAUGGCAUGCAGCUCCUGAGCAAAUGCAGGCUUACACUGAGAAAGGCCCUGCUUCUUCCAGUAUUUUAUUUUAUUUUAUUUUAUUUUAUUUUAUUUUAUUUUAUUUUAUUUUUAUUUUUAUUUAUUUAUUUAUUUAUUUAUUUUGUCUACGAUAUGCUGUGCUUUUGCACCAGCAUUGAAUUGAUGAGAAUUUGAGAAUUUCUCCUCCCUAGGCUCAUACUUUUCCUGCCUUUUUUUGACUUUGUCAUAAGUCAUCCUGGAGACAUUUUAGAGUUGAAGAUCUAGCUUCUCUGUUAAGCCAGGUUACUUUUGAGAUAGACAUUUAUUUUUUUGUUGUGAGUGUGAACAUUCAAGUUCAAAUAAGUUCAAAUACUCUAACCUUUUAUUUAAUACAUAUUUAAGUAUUUUAAACUUAAGCAGCCAUUCCAGAAGUCAUUUUCUUGUCCCUCCCCCCACUCCCUCCCCACUUUUUUUUUUUUUUUUUAUCAGCAUUUGCAGAAGUAGUUUUUGAUUUUGACUUUAGCAAGGAUGUGUCUGGAAAAUUUAUUAACUGUUUCAUGUCCAAAUGAUCUCUUAUACUAGCAAUCAAGCUGUCAAAAUUUUGGGGUGUUUUCUAUGUUAAUGAAUCAUUGCACAGUUCAUAUAGCAUGUUUUAUGGCAUACAUAUCAAAGUAUUUUGUAUAUAUAUAAAUAUAUAUAUAAAUUUAUGCAUAUAAAUUUCAUAAUACAUGUAUAAGCACAUUUAUGUAUGCAUGUGUAUGUUCACGUGUAUGUGCAUAAAACUCGAGUUUAUGAACAGACAUACAGAAAAUGAAUGUCUAGCUUCUAUUUGGAAAUGUAUAAAAUUUUGAUUUAAUGCAUUGCUUGCACCUUAUUAAUGUAAAAUUAUUUGUACUAAUCUCUUACAAAAGUGGUGACAAUUAAAGAAAUUUUCUCAUGACAUAACAUCAGAAGGUGUUGCAAUAUUCUUGGUUUUG
Molecule: long non-coding RNA, 1230 nt
Filed under: Anas platyrhynchos platyrhynchos (common mallard)
Lineage: Eukaryota; Metazoa; Chordata; Aves; Anseriformes; Anatidae
Description: lncRNA (ENSAPLG00000019689.1)
Source: RNAcentral